AUGGUAAGGAUUACAAUUGUGAAAUAAUUAGUUUUGUAGUAUCUCUUUUUGCCUUUUUCUUUUAAUAAUUAUUUUGGGUUAUUACACAAUCGUUAAAAGACUUAGAAACUAGUAGUUUAGGAUCAGACCUGCACCUUGUGCAGGGUGAGAUAAUAUGAAAAAUAUUAAUGUUAUUUGUAUAUAAAAAAUCCUCACAUAUACGGCGAUGUAGAAUACAUUCCGGACCUCAACUUUGCAUUACCGACGGUUUACAAUAAAUAUAAUAAUAAUUUAAAAUAUAAGGUUGGUCUAUUUUGUCAAUCAUUAGCAGAUCACGAACUGUUAAUAUGGGUAUCUCAUUAUUGUUAUUCGUUGUUAUAGAUUUAGUCUGCGAAUAUUAUAUAUGUGGCAAUAUAAAAUUUCACUAGAAAAUAUAAGGUUGGUCUAAUUUUGCUCAAACUCAUUGUA
RNAcentral lists this long non-coding RNA (447 nucleotides) under Brassica napus (rape). Its description in RNAcentral is "long non-coding RNA (BNAP_LNC025314)". The record is from RNAcentral. Lineage: Eukaryota; Viridiplantae; Streptophyta; Magnoliopsida; Brassicales; Brassicaceae.